RNAcentral lists this ribosomal RNA (680 nucleotides) under uncultured bacterium. Its description in RNAcentral is "bacterial SSU rRNA". It matches the Rfam family "Bacterial small subunit ribosomal RNA", at positions 24 to 693 of the family's 1533-position model. The record is from RNAcentral.
UCAGAUUGAACGCUGGCGGCAGGCCUAACACAUGCAAGUCGAGCGGUAACAUUUCUAAGCUUGCUUAGAGGAUGACGAGCGGCGGACGGGUGAGUAAUGCUUGGGGAUCUGCCUGAUGGCGGGGGACAACCACUGGAAACGGUGGCUAAUACCGCAUAAUACCUAUGGGUCAAAGUGUGGGACCUUCGGGCCACACGCCAUCAGAUGAACCCAAGUGAGAUUAGCUGGUUGGUAAGGUAUCGGCUUACCAAGGCGACGAUCUCUAGCUGGUCUGAGAGGAUGAUCAGCCACACUGGGACUGAGACACGGCCCAGACUCCUACGGGAGGCAGCAGUGGGGAAUAUUGGACAAUGGGGGCAACCCUGAUCCAGCCAUGCCGCGUGUGUGAAGAAGGCCUUCGGGUUGUAAAGCACUUUCAGUGGUGAGGAAGGUGGUGUCGUUAAUAGCGGCAUCAAUUGACGUUAGCCACAGAAGAAGCACCGGCUAACUCCGUGCCAGCAGCCGCGGUAAUACGGAGGGUGCGAGCGUUAAUCGGAAUUACUGGGCGUAAAGCGCACGUAGGCGGUAUGUUAAGCAAGAUGUGAAAGCCCAGAGCUCAACUCUGGAAUAGCAUUUUGAACUGGCAUGCUAGAGUUUUGGAGAGGGUGGUAGAAUUUCCAGUGUAGCGGUGAAAUGCGUAG